Molecule: long non-coding RNA, 277 nt
Filed under: Elaeis guineensis (African oil palm)
Lineage: Eukaryota; Viridiplantae; Streptophyta; Magnoliopsida; Arecales; Arecaceae
Description: long non-coding RNA (EGUI_LNC027049)
Source: RNAcentral
UUGUGGUUUUCUCCUAAUUUCUCUAAAGUUUUUUGAGGCUGAGGUCAUUCCUGAAUCUCUAAUCAAGCUACUGGCAAGCUCUGUUGCCAUAACAGAGCUUGGGCAACCAAUCAGUGAGCCUAAAUGCUCUGGUUUCCAUAUUUUUUCUUAUUUCCUUCGUGCUACUUGUUGUGGACCACCACCUCAACCUCGACUGACCAUAUGGCCGAGAUAAGCAAGAACUACAAAAUCAUCUUUAAGACACAGUUCGGACUUCGGCUAUGAUCGAGGUGUUCAC